CCCAAGUGUGGAAAAUAGCGAGCAGAAAUGUACAAAGAAAGCGGGACGUUAUAGAACUCUCAGGUCUAAAGGCAUGGCAAGUCGUUCUAAGGACAAGACAAGACAAUUUUUUUCUUCAAUCACGAACGCUACUGGCGAGCUUUGCCGCUUGUAGAGAGGAGGAGCUUCACGUCCGUGUUUACAUUGCAGUUGAGUGCAUUAAAAACAUAAAAGCUGGGUCUGCCAGCACCUCCGCUGGCAGCGCACCGAGACACGCCCCUGCUCGCACUGGCCGCUCGCACUGCCCGCAUCAGCAAUCAACACACCUGGGACUGAUGAGGGAGAGCUGUAUUUAAACCAGUGGACCCAAGGAUCUUCGCCGGAACUUAGUCUUCUGUACUCAAUCUACCUUCGUCCCCGCGUGAUCGAGCUGUGCGCCUCGACUUCCCUUUUGGACUUUGGACUGCCACCCUUGAUCCUCGACCCCUCGCAUGGACACGGACUCUGACGCCUCUCUCUCGCCCUGGAUCAUCUGCCUGCCCCACAGA
Molecule: long non-coding RNA, 527 nt
Organism: Nerophis lumbriciformis (worm pipefish)
Lineage: Eukaryota; Metazoa; Chordata; Actinopteri; Syngnathiformes; Syngnathidae
Source: RefSeq, a predicted model, not a curated record